Long non-coding RNA from Myotis daubentonii (Daubenton's bat), 6887 nucleotides. RefSeq lists it as uncharacterized. NCBI's taxonomy places the organism in Eukaryota, Metazoa, Chordata, Mammalia, Chiroptera, Vespertilionidae. The record is from RefSeq and is a predicted model, not a curated record.
UGGGGGACCUAGGGGUUGAGGCGUCUGCCUCGGCGCGGGCAGCAGUUGGCUCCCGGCCGCCAAACCAUUGCCUUCUUUGUCAUGUUACAGCCGCAGGAUGGAGAUUUCUUCUUCCCGAGAUCUGAACGGCUCCAUCGUCCCCGCCCAUCCCUGGCCGCCAGCGAGGACUAGGCGCCAGCAGCCACUCUCAGCGGAGAGAGGACGGGCGCCGCGGCCGCGUGAGGGCGGCUCUGGGCGGGCGCGUGACCCUCCCGGUAGGCGGGGCCCCCCUCCCCCUUCGGCCCGGGGUGGAGUCACCAGCUUUUCCUCGGCACGUGGCGGCGGAUGCGCUGUAAAUAGGAGUGACUCUGGGCGGCCACGCUGCGGAGGCAGGGACCGCGCUUUACGAGGCCAAACUGCCCGAACGAGGCCCAGAGAGCUGUGAACACGUGGAAACGAGUACAAAACAAAGGGGACGGGCGUUAAACACACAUCACUUAACCCCGGAAGCAGUUAAUCCUGGGCCCCCAGGCUGACUUGAACUAGAUCUAUCCAGGAAGAGCGCGAGGCGCCGUGGGCGGAACCCGAGAGUUGCCUCUUACUUUGGGGCCUCAGGUUCACCAACUGUAACAUAGACGCCGCGUCUCGUUAUAGAAUCAGCCCUGAGCCUUGGCUGGGCAGUAACACAGACACAUUGUAUAAGUCUGUAAACAAACAGGCACUCUGUGCGGGCUCCAGUAGGAGCGCCGCUUUGGAGCCUGGGGUGGGGUCGCCUUCUGCCCCUUUGACAUCGGCUAGACUCUAAGAUGUUCCUGAAACAAGUUUCCACAGUCACAAGGCUGGGAAAGUUACUCAGCCCAUGGGACGGAGGGGUGGUGAGUCAGAAGAACAUGAGGUACAGGGAACUGGCCUGGCCGCCUCCGCUGGAACACUCAGAAUCCACCCUUUGCUUCCUGCCUCCCCAGAGCUACCUCUUUGGGGAGCAGGAGCCCAGUGGGUGCCAAUCCUUCCGUGGGCUGCUGACCGCGAAACCCAGGAGACUGGAACCCACACUUGCUUUCAGACUCAUCGGUGCUCCUGGAGCCGGAAAGUAGAAGAGAAGCUGCAGGAAGUCACCACGCCCUGGAAGGAAAAAUCCUCCAGCACCGAGAGAGAACGUGUACGGGCAGGAGCUUUCUGAAGUGCAAAUACGGUCACGUCCAUCCUCUACUUAAAAUCCUUUGAUGACCAAACAUCUUCUGCAGAAUAAAGUCCAGAUUAUGGCAAUCAAGGCCCUUCAGAGUGAGGUUUCUGCUACCUCUUCAGCUUUAUCUGCUAUUCCUUUAACCUGCACCACAGUAUUGGUUUUCCUGAAUGCACCAUUCUUUCUCCCUAUCUUACUUGCUAUUCCUGCUACUGGGAAUGCCUUCCCUGCCCUCAUUUGCCUAGGAUACUCCAUGUCUUCAAAAUUCAGCUCAAACACCUCCAAGGAGACUCCCUGAUCUCCACUGGCUUGGAUUUGGGUGUCUCACCUCUGAUCCCACAGCCUGCUCGUGUCCGUCCUAUGACACUGAACACAGACUUCUGACUCAAGACUUCUUGGCUCUUGUCCCCACUAGACUGUGAGUUGCUGAAAGGCAGGAGCUGCCUGGCUCCUCUCUAUAUCCCCAGUGCCUAACAGGAUUUCACAGAGUACGUGCUUAAUGCACGUUUGCUGCAUUUCAGACAGAAGAAUGACAUAAAGAUACAAAGGAUCUAUCCAGGAAUGGAGUGGGCUGCCUGGCCAGUCCAGAGUCCAAGGGCUGUGCAGCAGGGAUGUGUGGGCUCAGCCUGGAAAAGAGGUUAUAUUGGUUCUUUGACGGCCCUGGGAGCCAGGCUGAGGCGUUGGGAUUUCACGUGGUAUGGUGAGCAGUGGAGAACCCUGAGGUGCUAGAUGAUCAGAUCUGUGCCAAAGACAGGAGGAUGGAUUGGAGAAGGGGGGGGGCAGGGAUUAGAGAAAACAGGCGGCUACUGGCUCUGCUUAGUCAAUGAAACAGCAGCUUGGGGAGAUCAUGACCCUCGGGGCCACACAGCUGUUAAGUGGCAGAACUAGGAGCCGAACCAGUUCUGGACUACGUCAAGUCCAAAGAUCUACCUCACCACAGGGUUAUCAGCAGAUGGGGCUUCAAGGUUGUCCAAGUGCGAAUGGAUAAUCCAUUAGUCAGGAUAGGAUAGGUUCUAUUGCAGGCACAACACCCAGACCUCUGUGGCUUAAGACGUUUUCUGUUCACACAGUCCCCUGUGUGCUGGGCACCUUGAGUCAGCUUAGCCUUCCAGGCUGCUCUGAGGUGCGUCCAUAGUUCCCACGACAGGGAGAGCACUUGGAGAACCAUGUACCAGCUUUAUUCCGGAAGUUUUAUUGGACACACAUACCAACCAUGAUUCAAUGUGAGAGGACCACACAAGGGUAUGAGAACCGCACGGAGGUCACUGGAUGUCACCUUGGAGACUGCCACCACAGGUGUCUUCCUAAGCACCUUCUGCUCAGCUGUCUGUCAGCUCUGCUCCAGCUGAGGGAGAAGCCAGGUGAAGUUUGCCAUGACCCUGGGAGGGAGGCAGAUCACCGCAGUGUGCAGAUGAGGAAACUCAAGGCACAAAGACCUUCUGCAGUUUGCCUCACUCCAUGUGCUCUUGCACCAACCUGCACAGGCAGCAACCAAAGCAUUGGCUGUGCAGUGUGGAUUUUAGGCAUUUGUAAGCCCACCUCUCUCACUGUAUGUUGGCCUCUCACACUCCAUCUUUGCCUGUGCAGCACCUAGCAUGGGCAUGGUACAGAGAAGUGGCCAAAUGUGUUAGCCAAGCCUUGCGCACUUCCCUCCAUAGCCCCUGCACCAGCCCAAAGCAUAGCCGUGCAGGGUGUGGGGAGGCAGGAUUGAGAGUCACCUGCCCCUAAGGGCACCAGGUGGGAGGCCCUCUGGGAUCUGUGAGGAGGGUAGGGAGAGGCACCCUGGCACUGUUAGGUGCUUCAAAAGGGAGGGGAAGGGCAGAUGCCCCUACUGGCGUGAGCUCCGUGGGACCCCUGUGAAGGUGGACUUCACCUGUGCCUAACCUAGCACCUGGGCAAGUUCCUGCCAUGGGACAGUUCUCCGCCGUCGAAGAUUCUCUACCGUGCGGCUCCCUCACUGCACACCAUCCUGCUGCUGACCAGGCCUUGAGUGGAACUUCUUUCUCUUGUAUCCCACGAAUCCUCCUAUGACUCCUAACAGGGCAACCCUCCCUAGUUCUGGGGCUGCCUCUGCUUCUGACAGAGCACCUGGGAGAAAAUCUCAUCUGGAACCCCACGACAGCCACCUGAAAGUGCCGCCCCGAAGGCUCCCGCCACUCCUCCCCGCUGCCGCUGCCGUGAUGCUUGGCCUCUGACCCGGGUGGGGCCACACAGCCCCUCCUUCCCUCCUCAGCCCACCGCCCCAGAGAAACCAGAACCCAAGCCAAAGUAUCAGAAACGUGUAUUCUUUUUCUUUUAAUAGUAAACCUCUUUACAACAAAUAUAGUGAAAGAGUUUUCAAACAAAACUCAUAAGAAUCUCGAGGACUUUGUCUUUCUUAUUGUGUAGAAUACUAAGAAAGCAUCACCAUACAGCACAAAAAGAAAUAUUGAAAACAAAUCAACAGCCACACACUUGGACUCGCCCUGCCCAGGACCCAGGAGGAGCCCCAGGAGUGUGGGUGAUUGUCGGGUUUGGGGGUGAGGCACCUCCGUGCCCUGUCCCCUUCCUCCCUCUGGGACUUGAGUGGGGAAGACAGAGAGAAUCCAGAUUCUCCAUAUAACAUUCCAGCGCCCCUCCCCCAAUACAAAUCCCAUUCCUUCUACCAACUGGUUAGAGGGUGGAGAGAGGUGGCAGAGGAAGAACAGAGGAGUUCCCAGGCUCCAUGUCUCCUCCCCUCCGUGAAAGCCUAAAUCCAUGCCCCGCCCCACCCCAGGGGAUUCCAAAGAGUCAGUUAAAAAUAUAUAGAUAUAGAUAUUUCUAGAUACACUUUUACAUCAUUUCUGUCUCUCCAAACAAAUAAAUAAUCAGCAAGAGAAGGUGCAUUACUUCCUUCCUGUCCAAGGUGGGGAGGGCUGGGUGAGGGUCAGGGGUCAGUCUCGUUGUACUGAGUGCACUACGGGGAAAGAGGAAAUGGUGUUCCACUGGGGUGGGUGGGGGGCCCUCUUGCCCACUGUCCCUGAAAGCUGUGGGAAACCUGGGGAGGGGAGGAGCAUUGGAUGACUCCAGUGAUUACUUUGGCAAAUGCCCAGUUAUUCAGAGGAAGGAGUGGGUGGAGGCAAAUUUGGCUUGUGAGAGGAGGGAAAGAUGAAGUCUGCACUUGAGGUCUGGGUUCCCAGGGACCCUUCUUCUGGCCGGCCAGGAGCCCCUACCCCCAAGAGAACUCUUGGGAUACUGAAUUGCAGAAAUGUCACACAUUCAUUCACAAAUCACCCCCUGCCCCCAGGGAUAGAGAAGAAAGGACACACACACAUCCACACAUGGUAAUCAAAAGCCAGGUUUGCCAUUACAAAGCAGAGGGCAAAACUGGUAAAUAUUGCACCGUGAACUGCAGGGGCCCUCACCCCCACCCCGUGUUUAAUGGUGGCCAACCUCAGCUUAGAAAGGUGGACAGACCCAUGGCGGGAACAGCCUGAGAAGGGAUGGCCAGUCGUUCAAUGUUGAUUGAGCACCCAUCAUUCAUUCACCGUUCACUCAUUCAGCAUUUAUUGAGUGCCAGGCACUGGGCAAGGCUCUGGGAAUGCACACCCACACGAGACUACAUCCUCCUCUUUCAUGGCCCUGAUCAAGUCUCAUCUAUUCUUGAAACUCCCUCUAGGAACCUGCAGGAAGACUGGCCAUGCUGUGUGCCCAGCCAGCAGGUGGGGUUAAGGUGUGAGGACGAUGGUUCACUAUCAGGUGAGGAAAAAGCUUCAGGGAGGAAGAAGGAGCUUGAGGGUCACCCUGAAAGGACUGGGGCGAGGGAAGAGUGUACUCCAGGGAAGGGGCUGUAAAGGUGUGGGUACUGGGCAGACAACUGUGCGUGGAGCCUGGGAGAGGCAGGGUGGCAAGGAGGGCCAACUGCUAGAUCCUUUCUGACGGGAGGACAAAAAUAUCAGAGCUGAGGGUGAGAACAGGUGAAGGAGCAGGCCAGAAGGGAGCGGGGCUCAGGGAGGAGGGUCACGGAGCUGGAAGCCAGGGUUAUGUGGCUGCAACAGCCACCUGUCCCUCUGUAAACACAUACCCAGGCACGUGCUCACACACACGCACGCACAGAUGCCCUCAGAGCUUAAUUCGCACAAAGAUUCAUGUGUAUGCCCAGACAGGCUAGGAGACCCACAAAGCCACACACACACACAUACAUACAAAGGAAUACUUGGACAUACAAACACUAGAUGCCCUUGGGAAUACACUCAGGUACAUGUGCAGCCACAUGGCCCCCUCUGCUUCUGGUUCCUUCCCUGCCUCGUGUUGGAAUACUGCAAGUGGCUGGGUCCUACAGGUGGGCAAAGAUAGUCACCUGGCACAAACUGGGCCUGGUCUACUCUGCUUUCCCACCAGGAUGAAACCCCAAGGGAGUGCUACACCCCUGGGGCAGAGGAGCUGGGCUUAUGUGAAGGAGUCUGCCUGCCCACGCACGUUAGGGUGAGGGGUGGUGUGAUCACGGGCGUGGGGCCUGCCCCCUCCAGUUUGACCUGUCAUCCAGCCUGAGGUCUCAGGACCUGGGGAGGUGCAGAGAGAGGCAGACUGGGGGCUGGAGGAGGGGAGCAAGAACAACAGCAGAAGAACCUCACCUGUACAGUACGGGCGUUUGAGUCAUUAUUAUUACAAUAUACUUUGACAAAAAUAGAAUCUCAUUUCAUAUCAAUACAACAACAACAACAACAAAAAACAGUUUCCUGGACUGUUACACUGCUAACUUUUCCAAAGGUUGCUAUUUACAAUUACAGUAGCCAAGAGGGAAGGUGGGAUACGGCCUGGGGGUGGUGGGGCAGGAGGUAGCCAGACAAUGAGGGCGCCAAGAGCACGGAGGUGGGGUCUGGAGCCGAUCCGGGGCGCAGGAGCAGGAGCUGGGAGGAGGGCUGGGGAGAAGGGACAAGGAGGAAAGAAGGGAGGCAGGCCUCUGCAGACCUCCAGUCCCCUUUCCCAUCCUCUCACCCAUCCCAACAUCCACUCCUCUGGGAAUAUGUACGUGCAAGGAAGAGCAAGUCCCCUCACUCACACUCGCCCCUGGAUGCAAGGGUUCCGUCCUCAGGCAUCCCGAAGUGACGAGACCCGCUCCCACCGAGUCACCUCACUCAAGUUCCUCUCCCCAGUUCUCCCCGCACGUUGUGGCCAGCUUUACUGGGCUGGUGUCCACCGAGGGCUGGGGAGCUAUUGCACUGUGUCUUAGAGAAAACGCUGGGAAAGGGAAGGGAUGCUGACUCACGCCUUGUCCCAGCCCUGUCCCUCCUCAGCCUUCUCUCUCCUCAUGGCUCUUUCUCUCCAAAUGUGCUUCAGAGGGGCGCUCCCUCACAGCCUCCCGCAGCCUCAGAUUCCUAGGCAGCCUUCCCAGCCCAAAAGCUCGGCCAGCUCCCCCGCACCUCGCAGGUGCAGCUCACACAGAACCAGUGAGCGAGUGCUGUGUGUGCAGGGGCAUGUGGGGCCAGGCUUGGGCAUUCUGCCCCGUAUGCCUGUGGCCGCAGGAACAGCCCAGAGGCAGAAACCCUUGACAGAGCCUCUUCCUCGCUUUCCCCUGAAACACAAACCCACCGUCAAGUCAACUUUGGGGUUUCAGUCUAUUGUAAGGGUUUUGUUGUUUGGUAGUUUUUUUGGUUAUUUCCCACUAUCUGGGGGGCGGGGUGGGAGGGUCCGCAUGCAGGGCUCGGCACCUGUCCUUUCCCAAAGGCCCCCUGGCCUCCCCCCCUCCUGCAGCAUAUGUGUACAA